Long non-coding RNA from Selaginella moellendorffii, 976 nucleotides. RefSeq lists it as uncharacterized. The transcript is spliced from 3 exons. NCBI's taxonomy places the organism in Eukaryota, Viridiplantae, Streptophyta, Lycopodiopsida, Selaginellales, Selaginellaceae. The record is from RefSeq and is a predicted model, not a curated record.
UCGACGAAUCCACUUACCGAGUGAAAGGUGAAAGAGAAUUUGGAGUCGCAAUCAACUAUGCGGCCCCGGAACAAGAUGGAGGGAGGGAUAGACGAGAAAGAGAGAUCAUAUAUAAAGGAAUCGAGAGAACAGCAGCGGUCAAUCAGUAUAUAUUUCCAUCGUCAAAAACUAUAUCUUUUGUAAGCUGGCUUGCCUUUGCUUUGCUCGAUCACCCGGCUAACUCUCUUUCUCGCGCAGGCUUUUCAGAAAAUGUAGUGUAAGGAAGGUCGGUGGUAGCAGCCAGGAAGGCGAGAGAGAAACUUUAAUACGAGGACAGCUCGCAGUGGACGGUCAAUAAUCAAAGGUCAAUCCUUCAACUGCCAUAGCUUUUCUUUAACUUGCUUACGGACACACAGAGGGAGCGAGAGGAGACCACGCGGCCAAGAAGACGAAGAUAGACUCACGCAAAUAAGAUCGAUUCGUGAGAGCUUCCUUACACAGGUAAGCGUUGAAGACAAGUUCUUCUUUCGCUUUGGAAAAAUAUAUCUCCGACACUCCCGGGUCUCUCUCUCUAGGUGGGCGAUGGAUGGACGAGCACUAGCCGAGCUCAGCGGAGUUUUAUAGCGAAAACAAAGACGAGAGUAAUCCGCAAGGCGAGACAACACAGUGUUCCCGUGAGCCGGAAGAAAGAACAAACUACCAACAAUGGUUUUAGUCGGUUUUAGCAGUGGCCUGGAUACUUCCACCGCCCUCGACAUCGAAGCGAUCGAAGUGAGAGCGAGGCAAGACUACUUUUUUGUGAUUGACAAGGCUGGCCCAUCCUCUUUUGUUCUUAGUUCCAACCAGUUUCGACAAGACCAACCGGAGCGAGAUAUGAAAGAGACAACAAUUCUUGUAUCAACCGCAAGUUUCUCGUGAACUUACAUGGAGGAUCAAGAAGGUACUUUCAAAAGCAAGCUCUCUAGAUUUUUUUUUAAUCUUUUGCUUUGGCAGUCAC